Molecule: small RNA, 83 nt
Filed under: Salmonella enterica subsp. enterica serovar Infantis
Lineage: Bacteria; Pseudomonadati; Pseudomonadota; Gammaproteobacteria; Enterobacterales; Enterobacteriaceae
Description: partial RtT sRNA
Rfam family: RtT RNA
About the family: This family represents a bacterial cis-regulatory element known as RtT RNA. The exact function of RtT is unknown although it is thought that it may be involved in changing the cellular response in relation to amino acid starvation.
Source: RNAcentral
GAGAAUAAAGCGUGAAGGAUAACGUUGCGUCAGCAACGGCCCGUAGGGCGAGGCGAAGCCGAGUCAUCCUGCACGACCCACCA